AGGCUUCCCCAGAGUUCCAGGUCCUCAUGGUUAGGGGGGAAGCAUCUGCUCUAUAGAUCAGAUUGCCUGACAUGAACAGCCUUCCCUAACAGUUACCAGCCAGCGGUCAGAGCUGGACGCUCUGUAAAGACAGGGAUUUUGUCUCUUGUUCCCUGUUGUUGUCUGAGCCUGGAAUAGUGCUUUGUGCAUGGGAAUGAUAAACUCGAAAAUAAACAAAUGGAUAAAAUUUGCCCUCUAUCAUGGAGGAACUAACAAUCUGUGAAGAAAGACCAUCAUGGAUAUGGAUAACUGUAGACACAAAGCUUAAGUAAUAAAAUUGAGCAAGGUUUUCGGAGCCUGGUGAUGACAUGUCAAGGAUGAGAAGAGGGAUCAGCCUUCUCUUUUUUGUUGCUGAGCCUCCAUGGCUAGCGCAGAGCCUGCAUGUAGUAGAUGUUCAGUAAAUAUUUACUGAAUGAGUGAUUGCUUCAACACCGUGUGCCAGGUUCUGCUAGGUGCUUUCCAUCCAAUGUCUCAUUUAAUCUUCCCCAAACAAUGAGACCUAGCCCUCCAUUAAACAGACGAAGAAAUCA
Molecule: long non-coding RNA, 569 nt
Organism: Suricata suricatta (meerkat)
Lineage: Eukaryota; Metazoa; Chordata; Mammalia; Carnivora; Herpestidae
Exons: 3
Source: RefSeq, a predicted model, not a curated record